This 478-nucleotide ribosomal RNA is filed under the name uncultured bacterium. Its description in RNAcentral is "partial 16S ribosomal RNA". It matches the Rfam family "Bacterial small subunit ribosomal RNA", at positions 28 to 507 of the family's 1533-position model. The record is from RNAcentral.
GAUGAACGCUGGCGGCGUGCUUAACACAUGCAAGUCGAACGAGAAGUGGAGACGGAAACCUUCGGGCGGAAGACUUUAUUUCGAGUGGCGGACGGGUGAGUAACGCGUGGGUAACCUGCCUCAUACAGGGGGAUAACAGUUGGAAACGACUGUUAAUACCGCAUAAGACCACAGCACCGCAUGGUGCGGGGGUAAAAACUCCGGUGGUAUGAGAUGGACCCGCGUUCGAUUAGCCAGUUGGCGGGGUAACGGCCCACCAAAGCGACGAUCGAUAGCCGAUCUGAGAGGAUGACCGGCCACAUUGGGACUGAGGCACGGCCCAAACUCCUACGGGAGGCAGCAGUGGGGAAUAUUGCACAAUGGGGGAAACCCUGAUGCAGCGACGCCGCGUGAGUGAAGAAGUAUUUCGGUAUGUAAAGCUCUAUCAGCAGGGAAGAAAAUGACGGUACCUGAGUAAGAAGCCCCGGCUAACUACGUG